Molecule: ribosomal RNA, 585 nt
Filed under: uncultured bacterium
Lineage: Bacteria
Description: bacterial SSU rRNA
Rfam family: Bacterial small subunit ribosomal RNA
Source: RNAcentral
CCUACGGGAGGCAGCAGUGGGGAAUAUUGGACAAUGGGCGCAAGCCUGAUCCAGCCAUACCGCGUGUGUGAAGAAGGCCUUUUGGUUGUAAAGCACUUUAAGCGAGGAGGAGGCUCUUGAGGAUAAUACCCUUGAUGAGUGGACGUUACUCGCAGAAUAAGCACCGGCUAACUCUGUGCCAGCAGCCGCGGUAAUACAGAGGGUGCGAGCGUUAAUCGGAAUUACUGGGCGUAAAGCGCGCGUAGGCGGCUUGUUAAGUCGGAUGUGAAAUCCCCGGGCUCAACCUGGGCACUGCAUUCGAUACUGGCAAGCUAGAGUAUGGGAGAGGAAGGUAGAAUUCCAGGUGUAGCGGUGAAAUGCGUAGAGAUCUGGAGGAAUACCGAUGGCGAAGGCAGCCUUCUGGCCUAAUACUGACGCUGAGGUGCGAAAGCAUGGGGAGCAAACAGGAUUAGAUACCCUGGUAGUCCAUGCCGUAAACGAUGUCAACUAGCCGUUGGGGACCUUGAGUCUUUAGUGGCGCAGCUAACGCGAUAAGUUGACCGCCUGGGGAGUACGGUCGCAAGCUAAAACUCAAAGGAUUGACGG